This 691-nucleotide long non-coding RNA is filed under the name Pongo abelii (Sumatran orangutan). RNAcentral describes it as "lncRNA (ENSPPYG00000031252.1)". Lineage: Eukaryota; Metazoa; Chordata; Mammalia; Primates; Hominidae. The record is from RNAcentral.
UGGGACGCAGGUCCACCCACAGCCAGCUCUGAGCUGGGGCCCUGGCCAGGGUUCUACCCUGCUCUGCCUGCCUGGGGCCCUGGCUAGCCUGGAGGUGGGAAGUCUGAAGCUCAGAGAGCUUGGGCCAAUGGUGCAGGUCACACAGCACAUCAGCGGCUACAUGUGAGCUCAGACCUGGGUCUGCUGCUGUCUGUCUUCCCAAUAGCCAUGACCUUGACUGAUGCAGGUGUCCAGGGAUAUGUCCAUCCCCGUCCUGCUGGAGCCCAGAGCACGGAAGCCUGGCCCUCCGAGGAGACAGAAGGGAGUGUCGGGCACCAUGACAAGAGCUCAGAGUCCUAAGCAGACUUAAGGCCAAGAAAAUAAGAGGAGGAAAGAGAGAGGGGCUGCCUUAACCAGCUGUGGUGCUGACUUGGACACUUCCAGGUCAAGAGGAACUGUCUGCUUUCGACUUUGUGUGACAGUAACUUUUUAAGCAAUGGACCAGGAGCCCAAGACUCAGAUGCAGUGAGCUUUGCAAGGCAGACGAGAGCUGAGAUCUUCAGUGGCUGAUGGGUACAGGGCUGCUGGGAGCGUAGCCACGUCUGCUCCAAGGUGGCUUGAAUGAGGCAGUGCCCAAGUCCUUUUGACUGGCUGAGGUGAGCCUGCGGCUCAGUCACGCACUUUGUCCCUCUCCUAAUAAGUACAAUUCCCA